Molecule: ribosomal RNA, 244 nt
Filed under: uncultured bacterium
Lineage: Bacteria
Description: partial 16S ribosomal RNA
Rfam family: Bacterial small subunit ribosomal RNA
Source: RNAcentral
UAGCGACCGGCGCACGGGUGAGUAACACGUAUCCAACCUGCCGAUGACUCGGGGAUAGCCUUUCGAAAGAAAGAUUAAUACCCGAUGGCAUAGUUCUUCCGCAUGGUAGAACUAUUAAAGAAUUUCGGUCAUCGAUGGGGAUGCGUUCCAUUAGGUUGUUGGCGGGGUAACGGCCCACCAAGCCUUCGAUGGAUAGGGGUUCUGAGAGGAAGGUCCCCCACAUUGGAACUGAGACACGGUCCAA